GAUGAACGCUGGCGGCGUGCCUAAUACAUGCAAGUCGAGCGAACAGACGAGGAGCUUGCUCCUCUGACGUUAGCGGCGGACGGGUGAGUAACACGUGGAUAACCUACCUAUAAGACUGGGAUAACUUCGGGAAACCGGAGCUAAUACCGGAUAAUAUAUUGAACCGCAUGGUUCAAUAGUGAAAGACGGUUUUGCUGUCAUUUAUAGAUGGAUCCGCGCCGCAUUAGCUAGUUGGUAAGGUAACGGCUUACCAAGGCAACGAUGCGUAGCCGACCUGAGAGGGUGAUCGGCCACACUGGAACUGAGACACGGUCCAGACUCCUACGGGAGGCAGCAGUAGGGAAUCUUCCGCAAUGGGCGAAAGCCUGACGGAGCAACGCCGCGUGAGUGAUGAAGUUCUUCGGAUCGUAAAACUCUGUUAUUAGGGAAGAACAAAUGUGUAAGUAACUAUGCACGUCUUGACGGUACCUAAUCAGAAAGCCACGGCUAACUACGUG
Molecule: ribosomal RNA, 497 nt
Filed under: uncultured bacterium
Lineage: Bacteria
Description: partial 16S ribosomal RNA
Rfam family: Bacterial small subunit ribosomal RNA
Source: RNAcentral